Molecule: ribosomal RNA, 270 nt
Filed under: uncultured archaeon
Lineage: Archaea
Description: partial 16S ribosomal RNA
Rfam family: Archaeal small subunit ribosomal RNA
Source: RNAcentral
CAGCACCUCAAGUGGUCAGGAUGAUUAUUGGGCCUAAAGCAUCCGUAGCCGGCUCUGUAAGUUUUCGGUUAAAUCUGUACGCUCAACGUACAGGCUGCCGGGAAUACUGCAGAGCUAGGGAGUGGGAGAGGUAGACGGUACUCGGUAGGAAGGGGUAAAAUCCUUUGAUCUAUUGAUGCCCACCUGUGGCGAAGGCGGUCUACCAGAACACGUCCGACGGUGAGGGAUGAAAGCUGGGGGAGCAAACCGGAUUAGAUACCCGAGUAGUCC